AUUUUUGAUGAGCUUUGUUAUGUAGGUGAGUUGCCUCCAUGGAAACUUCCAUAGAACAAUUCCUUGUCAACAUGUACAGGCCUUCGGAUGGACUGCACCACACAGUAAAACAUGACUGCAUCUGUCCCGAAAGGGCCUGAAGGCAACAUUCAAAACAGCCCCUUCAAACUGAACUGAUUACAGAGGAAGUUAUUAGAUGAGAACAAAGUAAAAACGGUAGAAAAGGUAGCUACAAAAGAGCACAUGUGAGGGUUCAAUAUGCACAGUGGAGAAGAGAGAGCUUCUGCAGUAGCAGGCCAAGCAGGUCUGCUGGCAUUUUCCUCUACAGAUGGCUUGCCUAUGGAGUCAAUAGAGCAGGGCCCAUUAGAUGAGCAAGAUGGAUCUUUCUCAUGAAAAAUAAAGCCAAUUUGUACAUAAUGGUUAGUACA
This 428-nucleotide long non-coding RNA is filed under the name Coturnix japonica (Japanese quail). RNAcentral's name for it is "lncRNA (ENSCJPG00005009228.1)". The record is from RNAcentral. Lineage: Eukaryota; Metazoa; Chordata; Aves; Galliformes; Phasianidae.